RNAcentral lists this ribosomal RNA (465 nucleotides) under Vreelandella stevensii. Its description in RNAcentral is "partial 16S ribosomal RNA". It matches the Rfam family "Bacterial small subunit ribosomal RNA", at positions 338 to 795 of the family's 1533-position model. Lineage: Bacteria; Pseudomonadati; Pseudomonadota; Gammaproteobacteria; Oceanospirillales; Halomonadaceae. The record is from RNAcentral.
CCUACGGGUGGCUGCAGUGGGGAAUAUUGGACAAUGGGCGAAAGCCUGAUCCAGCCAUGCCGCGUGUGUGAAGAAGGCCUUCGGGUUGUAAAGCACUUUCAGUGGGGAAGAAAGCCUUGGGGCUAAUACCCUCGACGAAGGACAUCACCCACAGAAGAAGCACCGGCUAACUCCGUGCCAGCAGCCGCGGUAAUACGGAGGGUGCGAGCGUUAAUCGGAAUUACUGGGCGUAAAGCGCGCGUAGGCGGUCUGAUAAGCCGGUUGUGAAAGCCCCGGGCUCAACCUGGGAACGGCAUCCGGAACUGUCAGGCUAGAGUGCAGGAGAGGAAGGUAGAAUUCCCGGUGUAGCGGUGAAAUGCGUAGAGAUCGGGAGGAAUACCAGUGGCGAAGGCGGCCUUCUGGACUGACACUGACGCUGAGGUGCGAAAGCGUGGGUAGCAAACAGGAUUAGAUACCCUGGUAGUC